This 204-nucleotide unclassified non-coding RNA is filed under the name Hevea brasiliensis (rubber tree). The record is from RNAcentral. Lineage: Eukaryota; Viridiplantae; Streptophyta; Magnoliopsida; Malpighiales; Euphorbiaceae.
UAUGGGUUCUAAAACAAAACCUCUUUUUUAUUCUUAUGGUUUUUCGUUGGUUGAUUGGUUGAUUUUAGUUGUGUUUUUCUUUUGGUUGAUUUUUGGUUUGUCUUUCUGUUCGGUAGCCUGAAGGUGUUCCUUCUAAGUUUGAGUUGUUGCCCUAUUGCACAUUAGGUGUUUGCUCCUUAGUUUAGCUGCUAUGUUGAAGUUUGG